UAGCCAUGGGCAGGUUGAAGGUUGGGUAACACUAACUGGAGGACCGAACCGACUAAUGUUGAAAAAUUAGCGGAUGACCUGUGGCUGGGGGUGAAAGGCCAAUCAAACCGGGAGAUAGCUGGUUCUCCCCGAAAGCUAUUUAGGUAGCGCCUCGUGAAUUCAUCUCCGGGGGUAGAGCACUGUUUCGGCUAGGGGGCCAUCCCGGCUUACCAACCCGAUGCAAACUGCGAAUACCGGAGAAUGUUAUCACGGGAGACACACGGCGGGUGCUAACGUCCGUCGUGAAGAGGGAAACAACCCAGACCGCCAGCUAAGGUCCCAAAGUCAUGGUUAAGUGGGAAACGAUGUGGGAAGGCCCAGACAGCCAGGAUGUUGGCUUAGAAGCAGCCAUCAUUUAAAGAAAGCGUAAUAGCUCACUGGUCGAGUCGGCCUGCGCGGAAGAUGUAACGGGGCUAAACCAUGCACCGAAGCUGCGGCAGCGACACUGUGUGUUGUUGGGUAGGGGAGCGUUCUGUAAGCCUGUGAAGGUGUGUCGUGAGGCAUGCUGGAGGUAUCAGAAGUGCGAAUGCUGACAUAAGUAACGAUAAAGCGGGUGAAAAGCCCGCUCGCCGGAAGACCAAGGGUUCCUGUCCAACGUUAAUCGGGGCAGGGUGAGUCGACCCCUAAGGCGAGGCCGAAAGGCGUAGUCGAUGGGAAACGGGUUAAUAUUCCCGUACUUGGUGUUACUGCGAAGGGGGGACGGAGAAGGCUAUGUUGGCCGGGCGACGGUUGUCCCGGUUUAAGCGUGUAGGUGUGUGUUCCAGGUAAAUCCGGUUCACUUUAACACUGAGGCGUGACGACGAGGCACUACGGUGCUGAAGCAACAAAUGCCCUGCUUCCAGGAAAAGCCUCUAAGCAUCAGGUAACAUCAAAUCGUACCCCAAACCGACACAGGUGGUCAGGUAGAGAAUACCAAGGCGCUUGAGAGAACUCGGGUGAAGGAACUAGGCAAAAUGGUGCCGUAACUUCGGGAGAAGGCACGCUGACACGUAGGUGAAGUGAUUUACUCAUGGAGCUGAAGUCAGUCGAAGAUACCAGCUGGCUGCAACUGUUUAUUAAAAACACAGCACUGUGCAAACACGAAAGUGGACGUAUACGGUGUGACGCCUGCCCGGUGCCGGAAGGUUAAUUGAUGGGGUCAGCGCAAGCGAAGCUCCUGAUCGAAGCCCCGGUAAACGGCGGCCGUAACUAUAACGGUCCUAAGGUAGCGAAAUUCCUUGUCGGGUAAGUUCCGACCUGCACGAAUGGCGUAAUGAUGGCCAGGCUGUCUCCACCCGAGACUCAGUGAAAUUGAACUCGCUGUGAAGAUGCAGUGUACCCGCGGCAAGACGGAAAGACCCCGUGAACCUUUACUAUAGCUUGACACUGAACAUUGAGCCUUGAUGUGUAGGAUAGGUGGGAGGCUUUGAAGUGUGGACGCCAGUCUGCAUGGAGCCGACCUUGAAAUACCACCCUUUAAUGUUUGAUGUUCUAACGUGGACCCGUUACCCGGGUUGCGGACAGUGUCUGGUGGGUAGUUUGACUGGGGCGGUCUCCUCCUAAAGAGUAACGGAGGAGCACGAAGGUUGGCUAAUCCUGGUCGGACAUCAGGAGGUUAGUGCAAUGGCAUAAGCCAGCUUGACUGCGAGCGUGACGGCGCGAGCAGGUGCGAAAGCAGGUCAUAGUGAUCCGGUGGUUCUGAAUGGAAGGGCCAUCGCUCAACGGAUAAAAGGUACUCCGGGGAUAACAGGCUGAUACCGCCCAAGAGUUCAUAUCGACGGCGGUGUUUGGCACCUCGAUGUCGGCUCAUCACAUCCUGGGGCUGAAGUAGGUCCCAAGGGUAUGGCUGUUCGCCAUUUAAAGUGGUACGCGAGCUGGGUUUAGAACGUCGUGAGACAGUUCGGUCCCUAUCUGCCGUGGGCGCUGGAGAACUGAGGGGGGCUGCUCCUAGUACGAGAGGACCGGAGUGGACGCAUCACUGGUGUUCGGGUUGUCAUGCCAAUGGCACUGCCCGGUAGCUAAAUGCGGAAGAGAUAAGUGCUGAAAGCAUCUAAGCACGAAACUUGCCCCGAGAUGAGUUCUCCCUGAGACUUAAAGUCUCCUGAAGGAACGUUGAAGACGACGACGUUGAUAGGCCGGG
This 2158-nucleotide ribosomal RNA is filed under the name Salmonella enterica subsp. enterica serovar Enteritidis. RNAcentral's name for it is "partial 23S ribosomal RNA". It matches the Rfam family "Bacterial large subunit ribosomal RNA", at positions 731 to 2865 of the family's 2925-position model. The record is from RNAcentral. Lineage: Bacteria; Pseudomonadati; Pseudomonadota; Gammaproteobacteria; Enterobacterales; Enterobacteriaceae.